ACAGGGACUGUGUAGUCAAAUAGACCUAAGUUCAUAACUAUACCUCAUAACUUUCCACCUGCCUGACCCUGAAAGAGUUUUAAACUCUGGUUCUCAGGUUCCUUGUCUGGAGAACAGUGAUUUUUGUAUAUAUCUGGGAAUGCUUGUGUGAGUUAACAUUUCUAUUCUGUAUCCCACAGUGGACCUUUGAUCAAUGCCAUUUCUUACUUUUGAUAGUUACAAAUAAGAUAAUUCUGCUCCAGUUAUUUUAUUUGCCAUUACCCAGGGACUCAAAUAAUUAAGGAGUCACAUGUUUAAUAAGGUAGAAUUUUCUCAACGUAGUCUAUUCUCACAAUUAUCCACAUGUGAAUAAUUUAAAUUAUAAAUCUCUGAUUGACUUUUCCUAGCACUCAUAUAUUUCUUGGCAAUGCAUAUUCCCCACACUAAUAAUUAACAGUUGUUCUGGUGGGGGGCAGCACUCAAUGUUAAUACAAACCAAACAUUAUUAAGAUGGUAAAUCUUCUCCAAAGAUGAACAACACACUCUAAAAUUGCUAAUAAAUUACAUUGUCACUAUCUGACCAUUCUUUUACCAAAUCUCUCCUCUUGCACAGAUAAUUAAAAACUAACAACCACUAAAAAGGCUUGAAAGCUUCCAUCUCUUCCAUUUUCAAUAAUAUUGUGUAGCUUUUAGCUAGUGCUUCAUUUUGAAAUUCACCAGGUGGAAAUUCAUUUCUUUUCAUAUUAUUGAGCACUCUAUGUUCCCCUAGAUAAUUCUUUACGCUCUUUCAGAAAUGCUUUCUAAAACAGACAUAUAUUUUCUAAACUAAUUAAGGUCAUAAACAUGGGUCAGAUUAAUAGAUAUCUGAACCCCACAAACCUUCGUUCUAAUGUAGAAUAAGGUAAAAUCAAAACUUUUGCAGAUAAUUUUACUAAGGAACAUGAAGUAGUAGUAGUAAUAGUAGUAGUAGUAGCAGUAGCAGCAGCUAAUAUUUACAGAGCACGUACUACACACUGUUGUUUCUUAUAAUAACCCUAUUAUGGAGGCCUUAUUCCUAAUCUAUAAAUAAGGGAACAGGCUUUGAAAAACUAAAAAAUAAACAAAAACACCCAAGGACAUGAAGAAACUACCACCCAUUUCUGUUUGAAUUCAAAAUCAGUGUUCUGAAUCAUUGGCAUUUUAACCAAGAAUCAAUUGGUUCUCCUUUCAGCCACAAUGGAACAAAUAGUACUACCAGACAUAAACUCUCAUUGUACAGAAUGUUAAUAUUAGUCAAAGAUAGGAAGCUUCUGAUUUCAGAAAAUAUACAAUGGGCGGAUGAAUAUUAUAGAGAUUGUAGAUCAGGGAAGCUGAAGCUACUGGAUUGUAUGUGGUGGUUCAUUGAAGAGGAAUGGCCUCAGAGACCCAUGUGAGGGGCUCCUCAAGCAUAAAGCUGAAAGAUGAGCUGUAAGUGCAAAGUUAAACCACUCAAGGCAUACAAGAGGGCAACUUCACUAGAGGUUGAGCAGAGCUACAGAAAAGCCCUGUUGAGGCUGUGUUUCUGUCUUGCCUAGAAUCCUAUUGUGACAUUCAAAAGAUUUACAGAGGAAGGACCAUGACUUAGAGUAACAACUCCUCUAGAUGCACCCCAACAAAGCCUAAAGCUCAUCCCUACAAGAUGCAUAUCAGAGACAGGGUUUGUGUGCUGGGUCCUUCCAAGCUCACAAAACACCUGGGCUUUCUACAAAUCAAUAUCAACAACAGAAUAAAAUCAAACCUACACAACCACAUGUCAAAAUUUGAAACUUCUGCUAAAAAAAGAAUCUAGGCCAUCUGAGGAAUAUUACAAAAUUCAUAAUAUGCAACAGAUUAUAACUGGCAGGAUUCAAUUUUCAAAAUAAGAAAAAAUAUGACAUACAAAGAUGCAGGCAUCUAUAGUGAAGAAAAAGAAAACCAUCAACAGAACCUGAACCUGAGAUGACACCAUUGUUGACCUUAGCAGAUGGAGACUUUAAAGAAGCUCUUAUAAAAAUACUUAACUAAUGAAAACAAAUGGUUUGAGGAAGUGAAUAAAUAGGAAAUAUCAACACAAACACUGAAACUACAUAACAGGAAAAAGUAAAAAAUUGUAGAAAAUAAAAUUAUAAUAAAUAUAAAAAUGAAAAAGAUAUCAGAUGAGCUCAUCAGCAAAUUGACUAUAGCAAAGUAAUAAUUAGUGAAUAUGCAUAUAAAGCAAUAGAAAUUACCCAAUAUGAUGAGCAGGGAGAUAAAAGAACUUCAAAAAUGAAUAAAUUCCCAAGGACAUUUAAGAUAAUAUAACACUUUAUUAUGCAUGUGAUUAGGUAGAACCACAUAAUAAGAGAAAACAUUUUGAAAGAAAUAAUGUCCAAAAACUUAAUGUUAAAAUUUUAUGUAAACCACUUUAUGGAUUUCUAAGAAAUUUUUAAAAACCCACAAAUAACAUAAUUGUUAAAAGAGUGACAACUAAGCAACUUGUGGUUAAACUACUUUAAGCCAAGAUAAGAGAAAAUUUUUCAAAGCACCUGAAGAGAAAUGAAAUAAGAGAAUUCAUAGUAAAACUUCAAUAAAAUAAACACUAAAGAAUGCCAUACAGGUUGAAAGACAUAUUAAAGAAAAGAAGCUUAAAGGGAAAAAU
Molecule: long non-coding RNA, 2614 nt
Filed under: Marmota monax (woodchuck)
Lineage: Eukaryota; Metazoa; Chordata; Mammalia; Rodentia; Sciuridae
Source: RNAcentral